RNAcentral lists this small nuclear RNA (64 nucleotides) under Myotis lucifugus (little brown bat). The record is from RNAcentral. Lineage: Eukaryota; Metazoa; Chordata; Mammalia; Chiroptera; Vespertilionidae.
GUGCUCACUUCGGCAGCACAUAUACUAAAUUUGGAAAGAUACAGAGAAGAGUAGCAUGGCCCCU